GGCGGAGUAGCUCAGCUGGCCAGAGCGUACGGUUCAUACCCGUGAGGUCGAGGGUUCGAGCCCCUCCUCCGCUACCA
Molecule: transfer RNA, 77 nt
Filed under: Hydrogenibacillus schlegelii
Lineage: Bacteria; Bacillati; Bacillota; Bacilli; Thermicanales; Thermicanaceae
Description: tRNA-Met
Rfam family: tRNA
About the family: Transfer RNA (tRNA) molecules are approximately 80 nucleotides in length. Their secondary structure includes four short double-helical elements and three loops (D, anti-codon, and T loops).
Source: RNAcentral